RNAcentral lists this ribosomal RNA (471 nucleotides) under Triticum aestivum (bread wheat). RNAcentral's name for it is "partial small subunit ribosomal RNA". Lineage: Eukaryota; Viridiplantae; Streptophyta; Magnoliopsida; Poales; Poaceae. The record is from RNAcentral.
AUGGCGGUAAAGAUGAAAGGGAUCUUCAAAGGGCUGAGGAUAUUCUCGCACAUGUUUGCUCAAAAGGAGCAUGAGAUGGAAAUCGGGUUCCCUACAGAUGUAAAGCAUGUGGCUCACAUAGGGUUGGGCACCAGCGACACAUCUCCAAGCUGGAUGAAUGAGUUCAAGUCGUCAGAAGAUAUGUCUGCAGGCUCUCUGAGCACAGCUGAGCAGUCAAGGCAGACUUCUUGGACCUCUACAGACUUUGAGCCAGCAAGAUCCAUGCUGCCAACUGAGAUCAAUUUCCCAGACAGACCAGCGCAGGAGUCCUCCUCCUGCCCCCCAAGAGGCCCCAGGAAGGCAAGGAGGAAGAAGACCAGGACAUCGUCCCCCACCUCCUCUGCAAGAUCAUCUUCCUCGAGGUCGAGGGCCUCCUUCGCGACGGCGUUCGACGAUUUCAACGAGUCGCAAAGAGGGCUCCGGGUCGUGUAA